GACAUGGGUAUACCUGUGCAUUGUGUGUAUUCCUUUGCAGUCUAUGUGUGUGCCUGUGUGGUGUGGGUAUGCCUAUGCCCUUUGUGUGCACCUGUGUGAUGUAGAUGUGCCUGUACCCCAGCUGUUUCUGUAUGUAUCAGUGCCUGGAUGGGUCCUGGAGCCUCUGGCUGCUCUUCUCUUUAUAGGCUCUGUCUCUCUAACCUGGACUUCUCAGAGGAAGAAGAGAACAGUGCAUAUUCACCACACUGAAAGGCAGCCUCUAGACCAGCCCUGGAUGGAUUGCACAAACUGGAGACUGCGGAAGACCUCUGCCAAGGAAAGCCUGGCCCUCCCCAGUCCUGUCUGCCCCCUCUGAGCCCCGUCUAAGAUUACAGCCCAUGGCCCUUCCUCUCCUUCCUUUCCCAGAGCAAGAGCCACAGCAGUUAGCCCAUGAGAGUGCCAGAGACAGCCCUGGCCUGAGGAACCAAGGACCAGAAGGGAAGACCAGGCCUCUAGUUCCUCGGCACCAGACCUGACCCAGCC
Molecule: long non-coding RNA, 522 nt
Filed under: Gorilla gorilla gorilla (western lowland gorilla)
Lineage: Eukaryota; Metazoa; Chordata; Mammalia; Primates; Hominidae
Description: lncRNA (ENSGGOG00000044633.1)
Source: RNAcentral